This 496-nucleotide ribosomal RNA is filed under the name uncultured bacterium. RNAcentral describes it as "partial 16S ribosomal RNA". It matches the Rfam family "Bacterial small subunit ribosomal RNA", at positions 29 to 507 of the family's 1533-position model. The record is from RNAcentral.
AUGAACGCUGGCGGCGUGCCUAAUACCUGCAAGUCGCGCGCACAGACGAGGAGCUUGCUCCUCUGACGUUAGCGGCGGACGGGUGAGUAACACGUGGAUAACCUACCUAUAAGACUGGGAUAACUUCGGGAAACCGGAGCUAAUACCGGAUAAUAUAUUGAACCGCAUGGUUCAAUAGUGAAAGACGGUUUUGCUGUCACUUAUAGAUGGAUCCGCGCCGCAUUAGCUAGUUGGUAAGGUAACGGCUUACCAAGGCAACGAUGCGUAGCCGACCUGAGAGGGUGAUCGGCCACACUGGAACUGAGACACGGUCCAGACUCCUACGGGAGGCAGCAGUAGGGAAUCUUCCGCAAUGGGCGAAAGCCUGACGGAGCAACGCCGCGUGAGUGAUGAAGGUCUUCGGAUCGUAAAACUCUGUUAUUAGGGAAGAACAAAUGUGUAAGUAACUAUGCACGUCUUGACGGUACCUAAUCAUAAAGCCACGGCUAACUACGUG